AACGAACGCUGGCGGCGCGCCUAAUACAUGCAAGUCGAGCGAGAAGACGUAGCAAUACGUUUGUAAAGCGGCGAACGGGUGAGGAAUACAUGGGUAACCUACCCUCGAGUGGGGAAUAACUAGCCGAAAGGUUAGCUAAUACCGCGUACGCUCCUUGGACUUCGGUUCAGGGAGGAAAGCGAUACCGUGGGUAUCGCGCUCUUGGAUGGGCUCAUGUCCUAUCAGCUUGUUGGUGAGGAACGGCUCACCAAGGCUUCGACGGGUAGCUGGUCUGAGAGGACGAUCAGCCACACUGGCACUGCGACACGGGCCAGACUCCUACGGGAGGCAGCAGUAAGGAAUAUUGCGCAAUGGGCGAAAGCCUGACGCAGCGACGCCGCGUGGGGGAUGAAGGUCUUCGGAUUGUAAACCCCUUUCGGGAGGGAAGAGAGCUCAGGGCCGAAUAAGCUUUGAGUCCGACGGUACCUUGCGUAAGCCACGGCUAACUACGU
RNAcentral lists this ribosomal RNA (491 nucleotides) under uncultured bacterium. Its description in RNAcentral is "bacterial SSU rRNA". It matches the Rfam family "Bacterial small subunit ribosomal RNA", at positions 29 to 506 of the family's 1533-position model. The record is from RNAcentral.